This 99-nucleotide ribosomal RNA is filed under the name Octodon degus (degu). The record is from RNAcentral. Lineage: Eukaryota; Metazoa; Chordata; Mammalia; Rodentia; Octodontidae.
AUCUACAUCCAUAACGCCCUGCACAUGCCCAAUCUCAUCGGAUCUUAGAAGCUAAGGAGGGUCUAGCCUAUUAGUAAUUGAAAGGGAGAGUGCUAGUUU